UGGGAAUUUUGGACAAUGGGCGCAAGCCUGAUCCAGCCAUGCCGCGUGCGGGAAGAAGGCCUUCGGGUUGUAAACCGCUUUUGUCAGGGAAGAAAUCUUCUGAGUUAAUACCUCGGGAGGAUGACGGUACCUGAAGAAUAAGCACCGGCUAACUACGUGCCAGCAGCCGCGGUAAUACGUAGGGUGCAAGCGUUAAUCGGAAUUACUGGGCGUAAAGCGUGCGCAGGCGGUUUUGUAAGACAGAGGUGAAAUCCCCGGGCUCAACCUGGGAACUGCCUUUGUGACUGCAAGGCUUGAGUGCGGCAGAGGGGGGAUGGAAUUCCGCGUGUAGCAGUGAAAUGCGUAGAUAUGCGGAGGAAACACCGAUGGCGAAGGCAAUCCCCUGGGCCUGCACUGACGCUCAUGCACGAAAGCGUGGGGAGCAAACAGGAUUAGAUAGCCCUGGUAGUCCACGCCCUAAACGAUGUCAACUGGUUGUUGGGAAGGUUCCUUCUCAGUAACGUAGCUAACGCGUGAAGUUGACCGCCUGGGGAGUACGGCCACAAGGUU
This 549-nucleotide ribosomal RNA is filed under the name uncultured bacterium. RNAcentral describes it as "partial 16S ribosomal RNA". It matches the Rfam family "Bacterial small subunit ribosomal RNA", at positions 356 to 895 of the family's 1533-position model. The record is from RNAcentral.